AGAGUUUGAUCCUGGCUCAGAUUGAACGCUGGCGGCAGGCUUAACACAUGCAAGUCGAGCGGGGGAAGGUAGCUUGCUACUGGACCUAGCGGCGGACGGGUGAGUAAUGCUUAGGAAUCUGCCUAUUAGUGGGGUACAACAUCUCGAAAGGGAUGCUAAUACCGCAUACGUCCUACGGGAGAAAGCAGGGGAUCUUCGGACUUUGCGCUAAUAGAUGAGCCUAAGUCGGAUUAGCUAGUUGGUGGGGUAAAGGCCUACCAAGGCGACGAUCUGUAGCGGGUCUGAGAGGAUGAUCCGCCACACUGGGACUGAGACACGGCCCAGACUCCUACGGGAGGCAGCAGUGGGGAAUAUUGGACAAUGGGGGGAACCCUGAUCCAGCCAUGCCGCGUGUGUGAAGAAGGCCUUAUGGUUGUAAAGCACUUUAAGCGAGGAGGAGGCUACUUUAGUUAAUACCUAGAGAUAGUGGACGUUACUCGCAGAAUAAGCACCG
Molecule: ribosomal RNA, 493 nt
Filed under: Acinetobacter baumannii
Lineage: Bacteria; Pseudomonadati; Pseudomonadota; Gammaproteobacteria; Moraxellales; Moraxellaceae
Description: bacterial SSU rRNA
Rfam family: Bacterial small subunit ribosomal RNA
Source: RNAcentral